CAAGACCUUGCGCUUUUGGAGCGGCCGAUGUCUGAUUAGCUAGUUGGUGAGGUAAAGGCUUACCAAGGCUUCGAUCAGUAGCUGGUCUGAGAGGACGACCAGCCACACUGGGACUGAGACACGGCCCAGACUCCUACGGGAGGCAGCAGUGGGGAAUUUUGGACAAUGGGGGAAACCCUGAUCCAGCCAUGCCGCGUGAGUGAAGAAGGCCUUCGGGUUGUAAAGCUCUUUCAGCCGGAACGAAAAGGUUACGGUUAAUACCCGUGACUAAUGACGGUACCGGAAGAAGAAG
Molecule: ribosomal RNA, 292 nt
Filed under: uncultured ammonia-oxidizing bacterium MPN20-DF1-NTNF-B
Lineage: Bacteria; Pseudomonadati; Pseudomonadota; Betaproteobacteria; Nitrosomonadales; Nitrosomonadaceae
Description: partial 16S ribosomal RNA
Rfam family: Bacterial small subunit ribosomal RNA
Source: RNAcentral